This 239-nucleotide long non-coding RNA is filed under the name Daucus carota (carrot). RNAcentral's name for it is "long non-coding RNA (DCAR_LNC004058)". The record is from RNAcentral. Lineage: Eukaryota; Viridiplantae; Streptophyta; Magnoliopsida; Apiales; Apiaceae.
UUGGAACUUGCUCAUUGUUCUCAUUGGUCACCAAAGUAAUGCCCGACUUCUUAGGCACUACAUGGACGGGACUCACCCACUUACUAUCGGAAAUGGGAUAAAUGAUCCCAUUGUCUAAGCAUUUAAGAAUUUCUUUCUUAACUACCUCCAUCAUGGGAGGAUUCAACCUCCUUUGAGGUUCUCUCACGGGCUUUGCAUCUUCUACCAAAUGAAUCCUAUGUUGGACAAUCGCCGGGCUA